Non-coding RNA from Pelobates cultripes (western spadefoot toad), 315 nucleotides. The record is from the annotation of a GenBank genome assembly. NCBI's taxonomy places the organism in Eukaryota, Metazoa, Chordata, Amphibia, Anura, Pelobatidae.
AGGGUGGUGCACAAAUAAGAAAUUGUGUGCCAAUGCCAAAACAGGAAAUGGUACACAUACUGUGUCUUACAAAAAGUCCACAGCAUUGGGCUCGGAGGAUACUGGACGAUACCCCCUAUAUAGAAUAGGUCCAGUGCGGGAAAGUGUUCCUGUAUCCACUUCACACCACACAAUGGAAUUGGACGCCUAUUCCUGGGUCCCAAGUGACCAUAGACCCACAGGGUAAAAGCAUUGUAGGCCGUCUUCCUGUAGUCGUUAUAAGAGAAUAAAGAAAAACAUUUUUUGUUUACAAUUUUGAUUUGAUUUUAAGACAUG